AACAACGGAUCUCUUGGCUCUCGCAUCGAUGAAGAACGCAGCGAAAUGCGAUAAGUAAUGUGAAUUGCAGAAUUCAGUGAAUCAUCGAAUCUUUGAACGCACCUUGCGCCCUUCUUCCGGAGGGCACGCCUGUUUGAGUGUCA
Molecule: ribosomal RNA, 143 nt
Filed under: Hymenochaete murina
Lineage: Eukaryota; Fungi; Basidiomycota; Agaricomycetes; Hymenochaetales; Hymenochaetaceae
Description: 5.8S ribosomal RNA
Rfam family: 5.8S ribosomal RNA
About the family: 5.8S ribosomal RNA (5.8S rRNA) is a component of the large subunit of the eukaryotic ribosome.
Source: RNAcentral